AAAACUGCCCUCUCUAAACCCAACUUGCUUCACUAGCAGGCAGUGCCACUCUCCACCCAGGAAGGAUUUCAGUCUGUGCUACGGGAGGAAAUCCGUGCUUCCCUCACAAGGUGGCUAGGAAGCAUCUGGAUCUAGAAAGCUGAAUCAUGGCAUGGUGUGGAGAAGCUAAUCAGUUAGAACAUGAAUUUUUAUAUCUCCCUUUCACGACGAGGGAUCUGAUUACGUGUGAUAUCAUCAGAGGUCCACUGGAGUUUGCUUCAAAUGGUGGAGAAGUCAUGAAACUUUCCGAAGCAAUAUCUGUACUGGGCUACUGCAGAUUUUGUGUGUUAACAGUUGAGGCAUAAUUAUAUCAUCACUAAGGAGAGAGAAAAAUAUGGACUCUGAACUUGGAUUCUCUGUAUAUUUUUACUUAUCAGGUGCACCUUCUAGUUCUUAUCAAUAGAAAUACUGCUCUGGAGAUCUAGUUGAGAACCAGUGG
Long non-coding RNA from Nothoprocta perdicaria, 478 nucleotides. RefSeq lists it as uncharacterized. The transcript is spliced from 2 exons. The record is from RefSeq and is a predicted model, not a curated record. Lineage: Eukaryota; Metazoa; Chordata; Aves; Tinamiformes; Tinamidae.